CCUACGGGUGGCAGCAGUGGGGAAUAUUGCACAAUGGGCGCAAGCCUGAUGCAGCCAUGCCGCGUGUAUGAAGAAGGCCUUCGGGUUGUAAAGUACUUUCAGCGGGGAGGAAGGAGAUAAGGUUAAUAACCUUGUCGAUUGACGUUACCCGCAGAAGAAGCACCGGCUAACUCCGUGCCAGCAGCCGCGGUAAUACGGAGGGUGCAAGCGUUAAUCGGAAUUACUGGGCGUAAAGCGCACGCAGGCGGUCUGUCGAGUCGGAUGUGAAAUCCCCGGGCUCAACCUGGGAACUGCAUUAGAAACUGGCAGGCUGGAGUCUUGUAGAGGGGGGUAGAAUUCCAGGUGUAGCGGUGAAAUGCGUAGAGAUCUGGAGGAAUACCGGUGGCGAAGGCGGCCCCCUGGACAAAGACUGGCGCUCAGGUGCGAAAGCGUGGGGAGCAAACAGGAUUAGAUACCCCUGUAGUC
RNAcentral lists this ribosomal RNA (465 nucleotides) under uncultured bacterium. Its description in RNAcentral is "bacterial SSU rRNA". It matches the Rfam family "Bacterial small subunit ribosomal RNA", at positions 338 to 795 of the family's 1533-position model. The record is from RNAcentral.